Lepidothrix coronata (blue-crowned manakin) is the source of this 1181-nucleotide long non-coding RNA. RefSeq lists it as uncharacterized. NCBI's taxonomy places the organism in Eukaryota, Metazoa, Chordata, Aves, Passeriformes, Pipridae. The transcript has 3 exons. The record is from RefSeq and is a predicted model, not a curated record.
AAACUGCCCAAAGGAAGCGCUGGCGAGCCUGGCAGCUUGCACGCAGGUAGGUUCCAUACUGUGUUAACUGCAAGAGUGUCCACUCUUCAGCUUGGCUGUCAUUUGGUGGGUCAGACUGAGCACGUCAGUCAGCGACAACAACUGAAUGAGCCAUCUCAAGAAGAUGAGAUGACAUGGCGAAGACAUGAAGACAUGAACAUGAACACUUGCUGAGCAGAGACUGUACAUAGAUGGUUUAAAGACUUUUAUUCAUUAUGAUAAUUGAAACUGUACUUUCACUUCUUAUUUGGCAUGUUGCUCAACAUGAGAAUUGGUGUGCUCUGCAUUAAUCAUAUUGUGAUGAUCAGGCGAGAAGUGAGGUUAUGUAUUCACAUAGCACAGGGUACAGAAAUAAAGAGUAGGUCUUCUCUGAUGUUACAGUAUCUAUGCAGAAGUACAUUCCUUGCAGCUCAGGAGUCUCUUUCAAAUGCUUACUCACCUGUAAUAAGACUGGCCAUAAGUGAUAAUUCUCAGUUAAUAACAAUGUUGUUGUCACUGUUCCACAGACAAGUCAGAACAGCAAGGCAGUCUGUUUCCUUUUUGGCUGCAGUGAUUGUGUUGCAUUCGCUUUUUGUGUGUCUGCAUAUGUAUGUCAUUCAUUCCUUCCUGGCCUCUGAGUAGGCAUUGGGCAAUUUUGUCUAAAUUUGACUGUGGUGGGACAGAGACCACAGAGCUAUUAAGUUCCUGCAUAUUUCAUGAAGAUGGACAUCCAUAUAAAUGGGAAAUCAUCCAUGGAAAGAAAGGUUCACCCUUUAUUAAACAUGAGAGAAUCCACAGAAAAGAGACAUGUCAGAUAUCUGGUCUUGUCCUACUGCUUACACAGCUUCUGAUUAUAAGAUCUUGAACAGAGUUCCAGGCAGGACUGGGUGUCAGGGAACAUCUUGCUUCGGAGAAGACCUGCUGGAGGGGAGAGAGCUUACACUUGCUGACAGAGCUUUAUGACUAGAAGUGUCUAAAUAUUCCUGAGAGUUUCCUAAAGUCGAGGUACACAGGCUAGUAGUCGUAAAGCUGUAUUAAUCCCUAGGUGGAAUAAUAUAUUUCCAUACGUGGUGCAUCUGAAUGAUUUUUCAGGAGUGUUCCAACAAAUGAGCCUCUUCCUUGGUCCAUGUGAAUUUACAGAAAAAUCAUUUAUAUAUAUAGUU